GCAAGAAUGAAAAUCAAAGGAAUUGACGGGGGUCCGCACAAGCGGAGGAGUAGGUGGUGGAAUUAGAUGAUAAACGAGGAACCUUGCCUGGGCUAGAAUGAUGGGAGGCCGUGGGUGAAAGCUCAGUUUAUAGCAAUACACAGCCAGUAAAAUGAUGCGUGGAGGUUGUCAGCUAAUUACGUGAGGUAAUGGGUGAAGUCCCGCAACGAGCGCAACCCCUAUCAUUAGUUGCCAACAGGUUAAGCUGGGAACUCUAAUGAAACUGCCGCCGUAAGGUGUGAGGAAGGAGGGGAUGAUGUCAAGUCAUCAUGGCCUUUAUGCCCAGGGCUACACACGUACUGCAAUGGGGGAGACAAAGGGCUGCAACAUAGCGAUAUGAAGCCAAUCCCAAAAACUCCCUCUCAGUUCAGAUUGCAGGCUGCAGCUCGCGUGCAUGAAGCUGGAUUCGCUAGUAAUCGUAUAUCAGCAAUGAUACGGUGAAUACGUUCCCGGACCUUGCACACACCGCCCGUCAAGCCAUGGGAGUCGGGUGUACCUAAAGUCGGUAACCGAGAGAAGCUGCCUAGGGUAAAAUCGAUGACUGGGGCUAAGUCGUAACAAG
RNAcentral lists this ribosomal RNA (601 nucleotides) under uncultured bacterium. Its description in RNAcentral is "bacterial SSU rRNA". It matches the Rfam family "Bacterial small subunit ribosomal RNA", at positions 888 to 1495 of the family's 1533-position model. The record is from RNAcentral.